RNAcentral lists this ribosomal RNA (409 nucleotides) under Babesia vogeli. RNAcentral's name for it is "SSU rRNA". It matches the Rfam family "Eukaryotic small subunit ribosomal RNA", at positions 243 to 666 of the family's 1831-position model. Lineage: Eukaryota; Apicomplexa; Aconoidasida; Piroplasmida; Babesiidae. The record is from RNAcentral.
UCGGUGAUUCAUAAUAAACUGGCGAAUCGCAUUUAGCGAUGGACCAUUCAAGUUUCUGACCCAUCAGCUUGACGGUAGGGUAUUGGCCUACCGAGGCAGCAACGGGUAACGGGGAAUUAGGGUUCGAUUCCGGAGAGGGAGCCUGAGAGACGGCUACCACAUCUAAGGAAGGCAGCAGGCGCGCAAAUUACCCAAUCCUGACACAGGGAGGUAGUCACAAGAAAUAACAAUACAGGGCUAAUGUCUUGUAAUUGGAAUGAUGGUGACCCAAACCCUCACCAGAGUAGCAAUUGGAGGGCAAGUCUGGUGCCAGCAACCGCGGUAAUUCCAGCUCCAAUAGCGUAUAUUAAACUUGUUGCAGUUAAAAAGCUCGUAGUUGAAUUUUAGCGUGUUCGAGUUUGCCAUUCGU